This 462-nucleotide ribosomal RNA is filed under the name Candidatus Bathyarchaeota archaeon. Its description in RNAcentral is "bacterial SSU rRNA". It matches the Rfam family "Archaeal small subunit ribosomal RNA", at positions 1017 to 1478 of the family's 1478-position model. The record is from RNAcentral. Lineage: Archaea; Thermoproteati; Candidatus Bathyarchaeota.
UGAGGUGUCCUGUCAAGUCAGGUAACGAUCGAGACCCGCAUCCCUUGUUGCUACUGUGCGAAUAGCCAGGCACACUAGGGAAACUGCCGUCGAUAAGGCGGAGGAAGGAGCGGGCCACGGCAGGUCAGUAUGCCCCGAAUCCCCCGGGCCACACGCGAGCUGCAAUGGUAGGGACAAUGGGUUCCGAAUCCGAAAGGAGAAGGUAAUCUCUAAACCCUGCCUCAGUUGGGAUCGAGGGCUGUAACUCGCCCUCGUGAACAUGGAAUGCCUAGUAAUCGCGUGUCACUAUCACGCGGUGAAUACGUCCCCGCUCCUUGCACACACCGCCCGUCGCUCCAUCCGAGUGAGGUUUGGGUGAGGCGUGGUCCUUAGUGGCUGCGUCGAAUCUAGGUCUCGCAAGGAGGGAGAAGUCGUAACAAGGUGGCCGUAGGGGAACCUGCGGCCGGAUCACCUCCUAAGAAA